CCUACGGGGGGCUGCAGUGGGGAAUAUUGGACAAUGGGCGAAAGCCUGAUCCAGCCAUGCCGCGUGUGUGAAGAAGGCCUUCGGGUUGUAAAGCACUUUCAGUGGGGAAGAAAGCCUUGGGGCUAAUACCCUCGAGGAAGGACAUCACCCACAGAAGAAGCACCGGCUAACUCCGGGCCAGCAGCCGCGGUAAUACGGAGGGUGCGAGCGUUAAUCGGAAUUACUGGGCGUAAAGCGCGCGUAGGCGGUCUGAUAAGCCGGUUGUGAAAGCCCCGGGCUCAACCUGGGAACGGCAUCCGGAACUGUCAGGCUAGAGUGCAGGAGAGGAAGGUAGAAUUCCCGGUGUAGCGGUGAAAUGCGUAGAGAUCGGGAGGAAUACCAGUGGCGAAGGCGGCCUUCUGGACUGACACUGACGCUGAGGUGCGAAAGCGUGGGUAGCAAACAGGAUUAGAUACCCUAGUAGUC
Molecule: ribosomal RNA, 465 nt
Filed under: Vreelandella stevensii
Lineage: Bacteria; Pseudomonadati; Pseudomonadota; Gammaproteobacteria; Oceanospirillales; Halomonadaceae
Description: partial 16S ribosomal RNA
Rfam family: Bacterial small subunit ribosomal RNA
Source: RNAcentral